UACGGAGGGUGCAAGCGUUAAUCGGAAUUACUGGGCGUAAAGCGCACGCAGGCGGCUUGUUAAGUCGGAUGUGAAAGCCCCGGGCUCAACCUGGGAAUUGCAUUCGAUACUGGCAAGCUAGAGUAUGUGAGAGGGGGGUAGAAUUCCAAGUGUAGCGGUGAAAUGCGUAGAGAUUUGGAGGAAUACCAGUGGCGAAGGCGGCCCCCUGGCACACUACUGACGCUCAGGUGCCAAAGCGUGGGGAGCAAACAGG
Molecule: ribosomal RNA, 253 nt
Filed under: uncultured bacterium
Lineage: Bacteria
Description: partial 16S ribosomal RNA
Rfam family: Bacterial small subunit ribosomal RNA
Source: RNAcentral